CCUACGGGGGGCAGCAGUGAGGAAUAUUGGUCAAUGGGCGCAAGCCUGAACCAGCCAUCCCGCGUGCAGGAAGACGGCGCUAUGCGUUGUAAACUGCUUUUCCAGGGGAAGAAAACCCGCUACGCGUAGCGGCUUGCCGGUACCCUGGGAAUAAGCAUCGGCUAACUCCGUGCCAGCAGCCGCGGUAAUACGGAGGAUGCGAGCGUUAUCCGGAUUUAUGGGGUUGAAGGGGUGCUAAUGAGGAAGAGGAGAAAACCUUCAGCUUAACUGGAGACUUGCCAUUGAUACUGUUAGUCUUGAGUACGGUCAAGGUAGGCGGAAUGUGUAAUGUAGCGGUGAAAUGCUUAGAUAUUACACAGAACACCGAUUGCGAAGGCAGCUUACUGGGCCAUUACUGACGCUGAUGCACGAAAGCGUGGGGAGCGAACAGGAUUAGAUACCCUAGUAGUC
This 450-nucleotide ribosomal RNA is filed under the name uncultured bacterium. RNAcentral's name for it is "partial 16S ribosomal RNA". It matches the Rfam family "Bacterial small subunit ribosomal RNA", at positions 338 to 795 of the family's 1533-position model. The record is from RNAcentral.